UUAGUUAUAGGUUCAAUUCCUAU
This 23-nucleotide transfer RNA is filed under the name Trachycephalus mesophaeus (Porto Alegre golden-eyed treefrog). RNAcentral's name for it is "partial tRNA-Gln". Lineage: Eukaryota; Metazoa; Chordata; Amphibia; Anura; Hylidae. The record is from RNAcentral.